RNAcentral lists this ribosomal RNA (496 nucleotides) under uncultured bacterium. Its description in RNAcentral is "partial 16S ribosomal RNA". It matches the Rfam family "Bacterial small subunit ribosomal RNA", at positions 29 to 507 of the family's 1533-position model. The record is from RNAcentral.
AUGCACGCUGGCGGCGUGCCUAAUACAUGCAAGUCGAGCGAACAGACGAGGAGCUUGCCCCUCUGAUGUUAGCGGCGGACGGGUGAGUAACACGUGGAUAACCUACCUAUAAGACUGGGAUAACUUCGGGAAACCGGAGCUAAUACCGGAUAACAUGUUGAACCGCAUGGUUCAACAGUGAAAGACGGUCUUGCUGUCACUUAUAGAUGGAUCCGCGCCGCAUUAGCUAGUUGGUAAGGUAACGGCUUACCAAGGCAACGAUGCGUAGCCGACCUGAGAGGGUGAUCGGCCACACUGGAACUGAGACACGGUCCAGACUCCUACGGGAGGCAGCAGUAGGGAAUCUUCCGCAAUGGGCGAAAGCCUGACGGAGCAACGCCGCGUGAGUGAAGAAGGUCUUCGGAUCGUAAAACUCUGUUAUUAGGGAAGAACAAAUGUGUAAGUAACUAUGCACGUCUUGACGGUACCUAAUCAGAAAGCCACGGCUAACUACGUG